Molecule: long non-coding RNA, 246 nt
Filed under: Ananas comosus (pineapple)
Lineage: Eukaryota; Viridiplantae; Streptophyta; Magnoliopsida; Poales; Bromeliaceae
Description: long non-coding RNA (ACOM_LNC036940)
Source: RNAcentral
AUCUACCGUUUCAUUUCAUCCGAUUCGGUAACUGAUUUGCGACAAAACCAACCCUCUCCAAUCUCCAAAAACCACACCUAUACAUAUAAAUCCAAUAAAACUCUUUUUCUCGAAGACCGUGCAUUAGAACCCAAAUCCGUCAGUGCCAUUGGGUCCAGAAUAGUCGAACCGUCGAAAACGAGCUAUUGGAUCACUAUGAACGAAGUCCAAUACGCACCAAAAGCCUUCUCCACUCAUUGUCUUCUC